This 2705-nucleotide unclassified non-coding RNA is filed under the name Hevea brasiliensis (rubber tree). Lineage: Eukaryota; Viridiplantae; Streptophyta; Magnoliopsida; Malpighiales; Euphorbiaceae. The record is from RNAcentral.
AAAAAAAAAAAAAUUGUAAUUAGGCCUAGAGCUAUAAUAGAAAAGUUACAAGGCUCCAGCACAAAAGUCCAACGUAUAAUUGAAAGGGUUAAUAAAUAAGAAAGCAAGAGCACGUUUCCUCCUCGUCUUCCUUCUCCAUCUCCAUAUAAGACCAAAGCAUACUGACCCUCCUUGCUGCUGUAAACCAGCACAACUGUUACCAUCAAAUCAGACAACAUAUUUUGUGGAUUGAGACUUGGAUAUGAGAGUUAUAUUCAAAUCAUCCCCACUUGCAAUCAAUUCUCGAGCAACGCUAUUUAUCAGACGGAUUGUGACACCAGAACUAACACCUGCAUAUGCAGUGGCCUCCCACCUCAUCAUCUUCUGUCUAACCAUGCCCUAUCCCAUGGGCGGUUAAUCUUCAUCAUCAUCAAUGGUGGUGGUUGAGUUUCUGUAGCUUGUAACUCUUGUGGGUAGCUUCCUCCUCAUCCUUACUGUUGGAAAGUAGACAAUGUCGUCUUUUUCAGCUGUCCAUCGGUACGUAGUGACAAGAUGGUGAAGGAAGAUUGAUAUUUCAAGCCUGGAUAGUUCUAGUCCAGGGCACAGCCUCUGUCCUCCACCAAAAGGCGUAAAGCAGUUGUUAACAGCAGCUACUGUUUUCUCCCAUCUCCAAGGAUCAAAGUGACAGGGGUUAUCAUAAUUUUCUUUGUCCAUAUGAACAGAAGUAAACGAUGCCAAGACACACCAUCCUUGUGGAAUCAAAUUGCCUUUAAUUUCUACAUCUUUGAGAGCUUUCCUCCAAACCCCAUUAAUGAUAUUUGCCAUUCUAAGAGUUUCAUUGAUCACAUUUUGAGUAAAUCGCAAGGACAUGUAGUCUGUCCAAUUAUAAUCCUCACAAGAUUCAGUCUUGUGCCUCUUCAAUUCCAUGUUCUCCUUCUACACAUAUUAGCACAAAAAUUUUAUAAAAAAAUUACAUGCAAAAUUUAUUUAAUGUCAGCUUCAAUCUGACAGUAAAUUUUGUUUUCCUACUUAUUUUUUUUAAAAAAGAAAAGACAAAUGGACUGUAAUGUGAUAAAAGCUGAAAAAUCUAACUUACUAAAAAGGUAGGCAAACAAGUUAAAGCAAGGUAGGUAAAUAAGUUACAAGUGAGGUACACUAUGACAAGAAAUGAAUUGCAACCCUAACUCCAUUAUCAGGCAUUUCUUGCAUAAACAUGGUAAGGGAACCUUGCUGUACACAAGUACACAGAUGUAGCAGAAAGGUAGCAUAUAUGAAGAAAGCUUGAGAAUUAUUUUUUUUCACCUACCUUUUCCUUAUUUCGAUUUUAAUGUCCAGCAUAGGCCCUGAACCUUCUCUUCCAUACAUAUCAUAGAUACUGUAAGUGCACAGGGUUUUCCAUCACCAUAACUACACCUUUUACAUGUAUAUUCCAAGUCACUGAUUCAACUUGCCAGUCCUCGUUUGUCUCCUUCGCAUACUUCUUCGUCAAUUGCCUUAGAGCAGCGGGGCAGUCACUGAGGAAUUUCACAGCUAGUGUCAUUGCCAUGGGUACAGUCUCUUCUCCUGGGAUCAUCAUCUCUAAUAUGUUGCCACUAAUGAAAUCCAACGGCAGAGAUUGCAUAUCAUUUGCUCCACCAUACUCACGUAAAAGCAAGUCCACUGUAUCUUCAAUAUUACCCUUUUCAUCUGAUCUUUCCUUGGCUAUUUUCCUUUCCUCUACGAUCUUCUUCACCAUCUUCAGUAGCUUCUCCUUGGCCUUUAAAGAUUUAUAUAGUCUGGUUCCUGGGAAUUUGAUUGGUAAACAGAUUAAACCUUUGAUGAAUUCUUCGAAUUCUUUCUUUAAAAAGUCUAGAUCUUGGCCUGGACCAACGCUCAUUAAUACUUUUACCAAAACUUGGAAGGUAAUCUUUUUGGUUUCUUCUUGGACGAGUAUAAGAUCCAUGUCCUGCCAAGUAGACAAUGUGAGUUUGACAAAGCUUUCAAUGUCUUUGGUAAUUGUGGAUUUGAAAUGUGGUGAUCUCAAGAAGCCGCCAAUAAGUGCAUGAAGUUUCUUCUGCAUAUUUCCAUUCAUUUGAAGUAUAGAAAACUCUCCAAGCAAAAUCCUGAUUGAUUUAGGAUAAGCAGGGAUGAACACAUUGCCAUGGUUUUGUAAAACCACUUUGUUCACCUCUGGAUCUGUGGACACUAUGAUGGGUGUUCCAAGAAUAUGAGUUUUAAACACCUCUCCAUAUAGAGAUUUUCGUUUGUCCAUGAAAGUAACAGGCUGAGAGGUGUAACCACAGGAAAUGAACUCCAGAGUUUCACCAAGGAAAGGCCAACCCAAGUUUCCCUUUGGAAUAAUACCUUGACAUUUCUUUUCUAUUUUUUUAUUCUCCUUCAAGAAGAACCACCAACACCACCAUCCCAAAAGAAAAAGAAAACCCAUGAAAAUCCAAGAAUCCAUAUCUUUAUUCUUGUCUGAAAACCCUAGCAAAGACAUGGGGUGAAGCAGAAAGUCCAUGCAGGGUAGAGGGAGAUGAAGGGAAGAAAGAAAAGUUAAUAAUGUCCUUGGAAGCUAGAGAAAAAUUAAGAGGGGACAUGGAAAUCUAGAAUGGAUCUGGAGCUACAAAUCAUUUAAUGAGGUUGGCCAUAUCGGGUGCACCGAAUGCUCCAAAGCUCAUUCAUUUUGUCUCCACUCCAUUUAGAUAGGUAUAAGCUUUAAUCUUCACACUGUUUUAUGCCUCAAU